Mycena leptocephala is the source of this 98-nucleotide non-coding RNA. NCBI's taxonomy places the organism in Eukaryota, Fungi, Basidiomycota, Agaricomycetes, Agaricales, Mycenaceae. The record is from the annotation of a GenBank genome assembly.
GACCCAAUGGCACAGUUGGUUAGUGCACCUGCUCACGCUGAAAAUACCUGCAUGUAAGCAGUAAGCAGGAGGCCCUCGUUCGAUUCGGGGUUGGGUCA